Molecule: ribosomal RNA, 253 nt
Filed under: uncultured bacterium
Lineage: Bacteria
Description: partial 16S ribosomal RNA
Rfam family: Bacterial small subunit ribosomal RNA
Source: RNAcentral
UACGGAGGGGGCUAGCGUUGUUCGGAAUAACUGGGCGUAAAGCGCUCGUAGGCGGAUUUGCAAGUCAGGGGUGAAAUCCCGGGGCUUAACCUCAGAACUGCCUUUGAAACUGCAAAUCUGGAAUCUCAGAGGGGAUAGCGGAAUUCCUAAUGUAGGGGUGAAAUCCGUAGAUAUUAGGAGGAACACCGGUGGCGAAGGCGGCUAUCUGGAUGAGUAUUGACGCUGAGGAGCGAAAGCGUGGGGAUCAAACAGG